This 497-nucleotide ribosomal RNA is filed under the name uncultured bacterium. RNAcentral describes it as "partial 16S ribosomal RNA". It matches the Rfam family "Bacterial small subunit ribosomal RNA", at positions 28 to 507 of the family's 1533-position model. The record is from RNAcentral.
GAUGAACGCUGGCGGCGUGCCUAAUACAUGCAAGUCGAGCGAACAGAUGAGGAGCUUGCUCCUCUGACGUUAGCGGCGGACGGGUGAGUAACACGUGGAUAACCUACCUAUAAGACUGGGAUAACUUCGGGAAACCGGAGCUAAUACCGGAUAAUAUAUUGAACCGCAUGGUUCAAUAGUGAAAGACGGUUUUGCUGUCACUUAUAGAUGGAUCCGCGCCGCAUUAGCCAGUUGGUAAGGUAACGGCUUACCAAGGCAACGAUGCGUAGCCGACCUGAGAGGGUGAUCGGCCACACUGGAACUGAGACACGGUCCAGACUCCUACGGGAGGCAGCAGUAGGGAAUCUUACGCAAUAGGCGAAAGCCUGACGGAGCAACGCCGCGUGAGUGAUGAAGGUCUUCGGAUCGUAAAACUCUGUUAUUAGGGAAGAACAAAUGUGUAAGUAACUAUGCACGUCUUGACGGUACCUAAUCAGAAAGCCACGGCUAACUACGUG